Molecule: non-coding RNA, 847 nt
Organism: Misgurnus anguillicaudatus (oriental weatherfish)
Lineage: Eukaryota; Metazoa; Chordata; Actinopteri; Cypriniformes; Cobitidae
Source: RefSeq, a predicted model, not a curated record
GUUUGAAUCUCUCUCAGUCAGGGGGGAUUGACUGACAGACGAACGUUACUCUACCAAACGGUUAUUCACUUAUAAAACCUUUUAAAGUUUAGCGCUAACGUUUCCAGCGCAAGUUUGAAUCUCUCUCAGUCAGUCAGGGGGGAGAUUGACUGACUGACUGACUACUCGCCACCAAACUGUCAUUUACCCAGAAACCUUUUAAAGUUUAACACAAACGUUUCCUGCACAAGUUUGAAUCUCUCUGUCAGGGGGGAGAUUGACUGACUGACUGACUACUCGCCACCAAACAGUUAUUUACCCAGAAACCUUUUAAAGUUUAGCACAAACGUUUCCUGCGCAAGUUUGGAUCUUUACCAUUCAGGAGACUGGCUGACUGUUCUCAACUAACCAUCAUUCACACGCAAAAACUUUAAAGAUAAGUAUGAAAGUGCCCAGAGCAGUUUUCGAUGUUUACCAUUAAGGAGGCUGACUGACUAUCAUCUACCACCCGUCAUUAACACAACAAAAACUAAAGAAAUAUUACUCCAUAUGGACCUAUUCAUUUACUCAUUAUGCUGUGAGUACACCACAGUUUUAUCAGUGAAAAAAUGUAUAUUUGUGUGUUUUCUCACUGCUUGGCAUGGACAGAUGUGGCCCUGUUAAAAAUGUUUAAAUGUUGUUUGGUUUAAGGAACAGCACACUGAUUUUGUUAUAAAAUAUUCCUGUUUGGACAGUCUGUUGAAGUCAUAAAGGAAUGGUUGAUAUAUUUCAUAAGGAAAGUGUAAAUGUAAUAUUAGUUUUUAAUGUUGUGAAUUUGGACUGAACAACACACUUCUGUUUUAUAUCUAAACCUUUUGUAAAAUAAAUG